UACGGGGGGGGCAAGCGUUGUUCGGAAUUACUGGGCGUAAAGGGCUCGUAGGCGGCCAACUAAGUCAGACGUGAAAUCCCCAGGCUCAACCUGGGAACUGCGUCUGAUACUGGAUGGCUUGAAUUCGGGAGAGGGAUGCAGAAUUCCAGGUGUAGCGGUGAAAUGCGUAGAGAUCCGGAAGAACACCGGUGGCGAAGGCGGCCUGCUGGGCAGUAGCUGACGCUGAGGCGCGACAGCGUGGGGAGCAAACAGG
This 253-nucleotide ribosomal RNA is filed under the name uncultured bacterium. RNAcentral describes it as "partial 16S ribosomal RNA". It matches the Rfam family "Bacterial small subunit ribosomal RNA", at positions 524 to 776 of the family's 1533-position model. The record is from RNAcentral.